This is a non-coding RNA of Phrynosoma platyrhinos (Desert horned lizard), 72 nucleotides long. Lineage: Eukaryota; Metazoa; Chordata; Lepidosauria; Squamata; Phrynosomatidae. The record is from the annotation of a GenBank genome assembly.
GCCAGUGUGGUGUAGUGGUUUGAGUAUUGGACUUUGACUCUGGAGAUCAGGGUUCAAAUCCCUGCUUGGCCA